AACGAACGCUGGCGGCAGGCUUAACACAUGCAAGUCGAACGGGUGCAGCAAUGCAUCAGUGGCAGACGGGUGAGUAACACGUGGGAACCUUCCUAGGGGUACGGAACAACUCAGGGAAACUUGAGCUAAUACCGUAUACGUCCGUGAGGAGAAAGAUUUAUCGCCCUUAGACGGGCCCGCGUCGGAUUAGCUAGUUGGUGGGGUAACGGCCUACCAAGGCGACGAUCCGUAGCUGAUCUUAGAGGAUGAUCAGCCACACUGGGACUGAGACACGGCCCAGACUCCUACGGGAGGCAGCAGUGGGGAAUCUUGGACAAUGGGCGCAAGCCUGAUCCAGCCAUGCCGCGUGAGUAAAGAAGGUCUUCGGAUUGUAAAGCUCUUUUGCCAGGGACGAUAAUGACGGUACCUGGAGAAUAAGCCCCGGCAAACUUCGUGCCAGCAGCCGCGGUAAAGUCUGUACU
RNAcentral lists this ribosomal RNA (461 nucleotides) under uncultured bacterium. Its description in RNAcentral is "bacterial SSU rRNA". It matches the Rfam family "Bacterial small subunit ribosomal RNA", at positions 29 to 531 of the family's 1533-position model. The record is from RNAcentral.